CCCUUAGAUGUCCUGGGCUGCACGCGCGCUACACUGAUGUGUCCAGUAAGCACCUAACCUCUUCCGACAGGAACGGGUAACCUUUGCAAAGCACAUCGUGAUGGGGAUAGAUUAUUGCAAUUAUUAGUCUUGAACGAGGAAUUCCUAGUAAGCACAAGUCAUCAGCUUGUGUUGAUUACGUCCCUGCCCUUUGUACACACCGCCCGUCGCUCCUACCGAUUGAAUGUUCCGGUGAGCUCUUCGGACUGCGCGGUCUGCAGUUUCUGCGUUCCGUGCGGAAAGUUGCGCAAACCUUAACAUUUAGAGGAAGGAGAAGUCGUAACA
Molecule: ribosomal RNA, 324 nt
Filed under: uncultured eukaryote
Lineage: Eukaryota
Description: partial 18S ribosomal RNA
Rfam family: Eukaryotic small subunit ribosomal RNA
Source: RNAcentral